RNAcentral lists this unclassified non-coding RNA (443 nucleotides) under Zea mays. RNAcentral's name for it is "misc RNA Zm00001eb076620". Lineage: Eukaryota; Viridiplantae; Streptophyta; Magnoliopsida; Poales; Poaceae. The record is from RNAcentral.
CGCAUAACAGUGGCGCGUGGGAGAAAGGAAGGAGUAAGAAGAAAGAGGGCGGCGGCACGGCAGAGCCAAAGCCGAGGCGAGCCGAGCAGUACAUGCAUCCCGCUUCCCGCAUUCCUCAUCGAGGUCCGGUCCAGCAGCCUUUUGCGCCUUCGUGUCCCUCCCCUCCACUCCCUCACCGGGGGCUGGGCUGGUGGGGAGUGGGGACUGGGGGCAGUCGCCACGCCGCAGUCCAUUCUUUCGUCACCCAUCGCAGCUCCAACACCUCUCGCUAGUCGUCAUGGCGGCUUCCGCGGCAGCGUUCCCCCUCCCACCGCCGACGCCUCCUCUUCGACUUUCACAUGUCUUUUGAUAUCACAGAAAAGGAUUGCCCCUGCCUUCACUGCUGUGAAUGCCAGGGACGUUUCUGUCGCCCUACAAUAUAUGGACAUUGGACUUGAUAGUUG